CCGUGAGGGAAAGAUGAAAAGCACUUUGAAAAGAGAGUUAAACAGUACGUGAAACCGUUAAAGGGGAAACGGAUGGGGUCAGCAGUGCGCUCUGCGAGAUUCAGCCGGUUGGCACGUCGGGCGGGCGGUUGGCGGAUCUGAAUGGACCGCGGCCGUUCGGUUCGGCGGGCGGACCGUCGCACUUCUCGCGAGCGCGCGCCAGCGUCGGUUGUCGCCGGGUCUCAAAGUCGCGGGCAAGGUAGGCCGCCCCUUUCGAGGGGUGGUUGUUAUAGGCCCGCGUCGUAUGGCCCGGUGGCGACCGAGGAGUCGCGGCGUGUGCCUCCCCCCCGGGGGCUGGCUGGGGUUCCGUCUCGCCGGUCGGCGGUCGAACGUGGUGGACUGCGUGCAGUGCGCCGCGACCGCCGCCGGUCGCCGGGACGGUGACUUUGCACCACGCGCCAAGGACGCUGGCGGUCAAAUGGCCUCAUUCGACCCGUCUUGAAACACGGACCAAGGAGUCUAACAUGUGCGCGAGUCUUCGAGUGAAGGAAGCUCGCGGGCGCAAUGAAAGUGAAGGUGGCCUCGUGUCGCCGAGGCGGGAGCCCGUCCCCUCGAGGGAGGGGUGCACCGUCGACCGACCUAUUCCGCUCUCGGGAAGGUUUGAGUGGGAGCGCACCUGUUGGGACCCGAAAGAUGGUGAACUAUGCUUGAAUAGGGUGAAGCCAGAGG
RNAcentral lists this ribosomal RNA (708 nucleotides) under Actiniaria sp. AT41-18-108. RNAcentral's name for it is "partial 28S ribosomal RNA". It matches the Rfam family "Eukaryotic large subunit ribosomal RNA", at positions 351 to 858 of the family's 3401-position model. Lineage: Eukaryota; Metazoa; Cnidaria; Anthozoa; Actiniaria. The record is from RNAcentral.